GAUGAACGCUGGCGGCGUGCCUAAUACAUGCAAGUCGAGCGAACAGAUGAGAAGCUUGCUUCUCUGAUGUUAGCGGCGGACGGGUGAGUAACACGUGGGUAACCUACCUAUAAGACUGGGAUAACUCCGGGAAACCGGGGCUAAUACCGGAUAAUAUUUUGAACCGCAUGGUUCAAUAGUGAAAGACGGUUUCGGCUGUCACUUAUAGAUGGACCCGCGCCGUAUUAGCUAGUUGGUAAGGUAAUGGCUUACCAAGGCGACGAUACGUAGCCGACCUGAGAGGGUGAUCGGCCACACUGGAACUGAGACACGGUCCAGACUCCUACGGGAGGCAGCAGUAGGGAAUCUUCCGCAAUGGGCGAAAGCCUGACGGAGCAACGCCGCGUGAGUGAUGAAGGUCUUCGGAUCGUAAAACUCUGUUGUUAGGGAAGAACAAAUUUGUUAGUAACUGAACAAGUCUUGACGGUACCUAACCAGAAAGCCACGGCUAACUACGUGCCAGCAGCCGCGGUAA
This 514-nucleotide ribosomal RNA is filed under the name uncultured bacterium. Its description in RNAcentral is "partial 16S ribosomal RNA". It matches the Rfam family "Bacterial small subunit ribosomal RNA", at positions 28 to 523 of the family's 1533-position model. The record is from RNAcentral.